AAUCCGAGAGGCCCCCUGAUCAUUGAGACGGCGGAGGUGGUGUGCUAGACCAGUUUCGCGCGGCCGUUCGCCGUCCCCCGCCCAGUCAUACUCGGCGCCCCAGCUCGGUGCUGCCGCCAUCUUCUUGGAGGACAGGAGCAGAGGCGAAGGCUCCCCCUCCCCGUGAUCGCUCCGCACUCCCGCCACCACCUGCCCUCCCGCGACCGCCUCUCUCCUCCUCAGUGGGCACCUAUCUCCUUCUAACAAACGGCCUUCCCCCCACUCCAGUUACCCACCGCAAGGCGAAGAUUCUCAUUACCUGUUCCACUCUUAUAAGCAUAAGAAAACCGAGCUCAUAAGACGAAGCUUCACAAAAGAUGUCUAAGGUGAAUCAGGUCUAGGAAAAUCGACUCUCAUAAACAGCCUAUUCCUAACUGAUCUCUACCCAGAAAGAGUCAUACCUGGAGCAGCAGAAAAAAUUGAAAGAACUGUCCAGAUUGAGGCUUCAACUGUUGAAAUUGAAGAGCGAGGGGUCAAGCUACGCCUGACAGUGGUAGAUACCCCUGGCUAUGGUGACGCUAUCAACUGCAGAGAUUGUUUUAAGACAAUUAUCUCCUAUAUUGAUGAGCAAUUUGAGAGGUACCUGCAUGACGAGAGCGGCUUGAACAGGAGGCACAUCAUUGAUAAUAGGGUGCAUUGUUGCUUUUACUUUAUUUCACCUUUUGGACAUGGACUUAAGCCCUUAGAUGUGGCGUUUAUGAAGGCAAUACACAACAAGGUGAAUAUUGUGCCUG
Molecule: small RNA, 773 nt
Filed under: Pongo abelii (Sumatran orangutan)
Lineage: Eukaryota; Metazoa; Chordata; Mammalia; Primates; Hominidae
Description: processed transcript
Source: RNAcentral